GAUGAAGAACGUAGCGAACUGCGAUAAGUAAUGUGAAUUGCAGAAUUCAGUGAAUCAUCGAGUCUUUGAACGCACAUUGCGCCCCUUGGUAUUCCGAGGGGCAUGCCUGUUCGAGCGUCAUUAUAACCCCUCAAGCUUAGCUUGGUGUUGGGGCCUGCUGUAAUAGAGCAGCCCUUAAAAUCAGUGGCGGUGCCAUUAGGCUCUAAGCGUAGUAAUUCUUCUCGCUAUAGGGUUCUGGUGGAUGCUUGCCAUUAACCUCUAAUUUUCUAUGGUUGACCUCGGAUCAGGUAGGGAUACCCGCUGAACUUAAGCAUAUCAAUAAGCGGAGGA
Molecule: unclassified non-coding RNA, 330 nt
Filed under: soil metagenome
Description: partial contains 5.8S ribosomal RNA, internal transcribed spacer 2, and large subunit ribosomal RNA
Rfam family: 5.8S ribosomal RNA (bases 1-120)
Source: RNAcentral